This 443-nucleotide ribosomal RNA is filed under the name uncultured bacterium. Its description in RNAcentral is "partial 16S ribosomal RNA". It matches the Rfam family "Bacterial small subunit ribosomal RNA", at positions 338 to 795 of the family's 1533-position model. The record is from RNAcentral.
CCUACGGGACGCAGCAGUGGGGAAUAUUGCACAAUGGGCGAAAGCCUGAUGCAGCAACGCCGCGUGAAGGAAGAAGGGUUUCGGCUCGUAAACUUCUAUCAACAGGGACGAAAGAAAUGACGGUACCUGAAUAAGAAGCCCCGGCUAACUACGUGCCAGCAGCCGCGGUAAUACGGAGGGGGCAAGCGUUAUCCGGAAUUACUGGGUGUAAAGGGUGAGUAGGCGGCAUGGUAAGCCAGAUGUGAAAGCCUUGGGCUUAACCCGAGGAUUGCAUUUGGAACUAUCAAGCUAGAGUACAGGAGAGGAAAGCGGAAUUCCUAGGGUAGCGGUGAAAUACGUAGAUAUUAGGAAGAACACCAGUGGCGAAGGCGGCUUUCUGGACUGAAACUGACGCUGAGGCACGAAAGCGUGGGGAGCGAACAGGAUUAGAUACCCGGGUAGUC